This 440-nucleotide ribosomal RNA is filed under the name uncultured bacterium. Its description in RNAcentral is "partial 16S ribosomal RNA". It matches the Rfam family "Bacterial small subunit ribosomal RNA", at positions 338 to 795 of the family's 1533-position model. The record is from RNAcentral.
CCUACGGGAGGCAGCAGUAGGGAAUAUUGCUCAAUGGGGGAAACCCUGAAGCAGCAACGCCGCGUGGAGGAUGAAGGUUUUCGGAUUGUAAACUCCUUUUGUUAGAGAAGAUAAUGACGGUAUCUAACGAAUAAGCACCGGCUAACCCCGUGCCAGCAGCCGCGGGAAUACGGAGGGUGCAAGCGUUACUCGGAUUCACUGGGAGUAAAGAGCGCGUAGGCGGGAUAGCAAGUCAGAUGUGAAAUCCUAUGGCUUAACCAUAGAACUGCAUUUGAAACUGUUAUUCUAGAGUAUGGGAGAGGUAGGUGGAAUUCUUGGUGUAGGGGUAAAAUCCGUAGAGAUCAAGAGGAAUACUCAUUGCGAAGGCGACCUGCUAGAACAUAACUGACGCUGAUGCGCGAAAGCGUGGGGAGCAAACAGGAUUAGAUACCCUAGUAGUC